CCCUCCCCAGCACGUGAUCACUGGUCCCCAACAGAACAACCGCUGCCGCAUCCAUGAGCCGUUUUGCACACCCUGGUCAGAAUGAAACAUUCCUUGGGAACUCGGGCCGUGAGAAGCAUCCUUCCUGAUCACCUGACUGUAGAAACAUCCUUAUCGCACCCUCCCGGGCAAAGGCCCAACAGCCUGACUGCAGGAACAUCCUUGCCAUAUCCUGCCGGGCAGCAAGCUCUACCGCCCACACCCCUCCUUCCCAGUCCCAUGAUCACCCCAGCCUGUGAGAGGCAGUUGGUGCUGGCAGUAAGCUGGUUUCCUCCUCUGCAGGGUUUUGCUAGUAAUAAAGGUGUUGCUGUUGAAGCCGUCAACUGUCUUUCUGUGUCUUUCUUUAACCCUUGCCUUGCCUUCAAAAUCU
RNAcentral lists this long non-coding RNA (409 nucleotides) under Homo sapiens (human). RNAcentral's name for it is "HSALNT0352418". The record is from RNAcentral. Lineage: Eukaryota; Metazoa; Chordata; Mammalia; Primates; Hominidae.